Molecule: non-coding RNA, 946 nt
Filed under: Neverita didyma
Lineage: Eukaryota; Metazoa; Mollusca; Gastropoda; Littorinimorpha; Naticidae
Source: RNAcentral
UCUUUUCUUUUCUAAAAUGGUUUAUAAAAAUAAUUAUAAAUAUAAGAAAACAGAUUAAUUUAUUUUUAUAAAUAAAGCUUGGCUCUGACUUAAAAAUAUAGCAUUAGCAAAGGAAUACACAUGGUUUUGGUUGAUAGUAGUGAGGCUUAAAAACAAACAAAAUAUAGCAGAAAGCAUUUUUUUGUUUGUUUUUAAAGGUAUUAUUUUAUAAAUAAUUCCAAGAUUGUACCACUAUACACCAGUGUCAAAUAUUAAUAUAGGAGUGAAAGCUCGCUUUAGAUUAGCUAAGAGAUUUGGUUAAUUUGGUGCCAGCAUCCGCGGUUAGACCAAAAAAUCAAGCUAUAUAAUAUAGGUAAAAAGAUAGUUAAACUAAAACUUGGUUUCAAGAUUUUUUAUUUAGAAGUAAAAUUUGAGAAUAAAAAAUUAUUUUAGUUGUAGCCUAAAUGUUGAAGCUAUGAUAAUUUAGAAAUAAACUAGGAUUAGAUGCCCUAUUAUCCUAAAUUGUAAAUUUAUAUAAUUAUAUAUUACCAGAGUACUACGAGUUCAAAAAACUUAAAACUCAAAGGGCUUGGCGGUACUUCAUACCCUUUAGGGGAACCUGUCUCGUAAUCGACAAUCCACGUUACACCUUACCUUAUUUAGUAACUCAGUUUGUAUACCGUUGUCGUUCAGGUAACUUUUAAAAAUAUAGAAGUUAGCAAAAAAGAAAUUAAUCUUAGACGUCAAAUCAAGGUGCAGCCUAUAAAAAGGAGAGGAUGGGUUACAAUUAAUAAUUAUAAUUACGGAAUAAAGAUUUAAACACUUUAUGAAGGAGGACUUGAAAGUAAAAAUUUAUAGAUAAAAUUUUUGAAUUCGGCUCUGAAGUGUGCACACAUCGCCCGUCGCUCUCGUUGAAAAAUGAGAUAAGUCGUAACAUAGUAGGAGUAAUGGAAAUUGCUCCUGGAUG